Long non-coding RNA from Cebus imitator (Panamanian white-faced capuchin), 398 nucleotides. RefSeq lists it as uncharacterized. The transcript has 2 exons. The record is from RefSeq and is a predicted model, not a curated record. Lineage: Eukaryota; Metazoa; Chordata; Mammalia; Primates; Cebidae.
CAUCUCUAAAAGAGGACAGCAACAAGCUGGCCCAGGGUUCCCUAGGGAACCAGAAAGCCUGGUAGCAGGUGUGUGUGCCUCAUCUCCGCCCUCCAUACCUAAGCUGCCUAGAAUCACAUCCAGACUCUGGGAGCUGUUGGGUCCCAUGUAGUCUUUUGAAGGAAAAUGAGGCUGUGUGGGCAGGAUGUGGCGUUGCUGUGUGGGGUGAUGGAGAAGGAACCGGACUGGGAGCCAGAGGGCUCACCUUUCUAGUCCUGUCAGUCACACAAUUAAACAUGGAAGUAGCAGUGGAAGCACCACAAAAAUGAUUAUACAUGUCAAGUGGCAAUGAUAAUUGCAUGCUGUGACUGUCCUUGCAAGGGAUGAUUUGUGGGAUGAGGGAGAAGAUUCUGGAAAAA